UGCAUCUGCCUACUUGUACGCUCAAAUUUGACAUUUAAGCUUCGUCAAACGUUUGCUUUUCUUUAUUUAGUUCUUCUUAAAAUUAAAAUGAUUGUGCAUGACUAUAACAAUCCUCACAUGUAAAUGUUUUCCUUGUAUCAUGCUACAAAAAUUCAGUUACUUUACACCGAAAAAAAAAUUUAGUUAAGCGGGAUUAUAUUCUCAACAUAAUUGUUUUUUGAAUUCUCCACGACAGCUGAAAGUCAAUAUUAAAGACUGCGUAAAAUGCAAUGUAGAUCAAAGUUAUGCAAUGUAGAUAGUUUGUGAUUUUUUAGAAACAUAUGAGUGUAGAUUACAUUUUUCCCCUUGAGCCUUGAGGUACUGAAAAAAAAAUAUCAUACUUAGAACUCCAUUCUCAUACAUUAGUUUCACGUUCGUGUAAAAAAUUUUAUUCCCUUCAGUACGUAAACUAUAAAAAAAAAAAAAAAAAACUAUAACAAAAUUUUAUUCUCAUUAUAUAGGUCUCAACCUUUUUUCAAAGUUCGUUCCCGCGUCCAUCAGAAAAUUGUAUAUAAACUGGGCCUAUUUAACAAUAUUGGGCCUUAAUUUAUGUUAUAUGCCAGAUGACAUCUAAGCUACGUAGAAAAACAUUCAUUACACAGUUACCUACAUUACAAGUCACACAACUUAUUACAACACAAUGUUUUCUCAGUUUUCUCGGUGCAAAUGUUAAAAAUGUUCUCAGCUGUUAUGUCAUAUGCUAAACACGUAGGAAAACAUUGGAUUUCGUUUCCCAUUCGUAAAGGAAGGAAUAAAUCUAGCUGAC
RNAcentral lists this long non-coding RNA (805 nucleotides) under Brassica rapa (field mustard). RNAcentral's name for it is "long non-coding RNA (BRAP_LNC004083)". The record is from RNAcentral. Lineage: Eukaryota; Viridiplantae; Streptophyta; Magnoliopsida; Brassicales; Brassicaceae.